Molecule: ribosomal RNA, 452 nt
Filed under: uncultured organism
Description: partial 16S ribosomal RNA
Rfam family: Bacterial small subunit ribosomal RNA
Source: RNAcentral
GUACACUCCUACGGGAGGCAGCAGUGGGGAAUAUUGGACAAUGGGCGCAAGCCUGAUCCAGCCAUGCCGCGUGAGUGAUGAAGGCCCUAGGGUUGUAAAGCUCUUUCACCGGUGAAGAUAAUGACGGUAACCGGAGAAGAAGCCCCGGCUAACUUCGUGCCAGCAGCCGCGGUAAUACGAAGGGGGCUAGCGUUGUUCGGAUUUACUGGGCGUAAAGCGCACGUAGGCGGACUAUUAAGUCAGGGGUGAAAUCCCGGGGCUCAACCCCGGAACUGCCUUUGAUACUGGUAGUCUUGAGUUCGAGAGAGGUGAGUGGAAUUCCGAGUGUAGAGGUGAAAUUCGUAGAUAUUCGGAGGAACACCAGUGGCGAAGGCGGCUCACUGGCUCGAUACUGACGCUGAGGUGCGAAAGCGUGGGGAGCAAACAGGAUUAGAAACCCGUGUAGUCCCAUG